RNAcentral lists this ribosomal RNA (375 nucleotides) under uncultured organism. Its description in RNAcentral is "partial 16S ribosomal RNA". It matches the Rfam family "Bacterial small subunit ribosomal RNA", at positions 527 to 896 of the family's 1533-position model. The record is from RNAcentral.
GUAGGUGGCAAGCGUUGUCCGGAAUUAUUGGGCGUAAAGCGCGCGCAGGCGGUUCUUUAAGUCUGAUGUGAAAGCCCACGGCUCAACCGUGGAGGGUCAUUGGAAACUGGAGAACUUGAGUACAGAAGAGGAAAGCGGAAUUCCACGUGUAGCGGUGAAAUGCGUAGAGAUGUGGAGGAACACCAGUGGCGAAGGCGGCUUUUCUGGUCUGUAACUGACGCUGAGGCGCGAAAGCGUGGGGAGCAAACAGGGAUUAGAUACCCUGGUAGUCCACGCCGUAAACGAUGAGUGCUAAGUGUUAGGGGGUUUCCGCCCCCUUAGUGCUGCAGCUAACGCAUUAAGCACUCCGCCUGGGGAGUACGGCCCGCAAGGCUG